Stylophora pistillata is the source of this 975-nucleotide long non-coding RNA. The record is from RefSeq and is a predicted model, not a curated record. Lineage: Eukaryota; Metazoa; Cnidaria; Anthozoa; Scleractinia; Pocilloporidae.
GUUGGAAUGGAAGGACGUGUAUUGACCGAGUCAAUGGUUAUGUCUGUAGUUGCGAAGCCGGAUACGCAGGGCUUCGUUGCCAAACGGCACUGAGGUCGUGCAAAGAAGUUUAUGAUGAAAACAAGUCAAACACAUGCACAGGCAGCAAGAUUGUCACAGUUAUCACUGGUGGUCAGUCAGUAUCUGUUUACUGUCAUAUGGGGAAUUUUAGAUGUGGGGAUGGGGUUUGAACGACUGUCAUGAAAAUUGAUGGUAACAAGAAAACAUUCCAUUACAAUUCUGGGCAUUGGUUAAAUCAAAAUCAUUACAACCUUGCUGGAGGAGAGACUUGAUUUGACAAGAAACCAAAUUGCCCACCUACUGGGACACACCCUUCAACAAGAUCUGUUUUGGGAUGAAUUUAGGUGGACUAAGUCGAUUCUUUUGCUAUCGAAAGGAAGGCAUCUUCCCUGUACGCGCUGAUCGCUGAUGAACAAUAUCGCGUGACUUCACUGGGUCGUGGGAAAUGGAAAUCGCUUCUCGGCUCGGAAGCAUCUUUACAACCAAACUGCAACAAGGAGGGAUUCAAUGCGGGUUGUUGUUAUGCUCAAGGUUGCGUGAGAGUAAGGAUCGGCAUCGCUUCCAAUGAAAAAGAUGACUGUGAUUCUGGACAGUUUCUUUUAUGCUUAGAGCACUUAAAUUGAUGUGAUGUCCCUUGUAAGACAUAGUAAUUUCAGAGGGAUACUGCCAAGUGAGUUCGCUACGGUUUCAAGGCUUAGACUGCUACUGCACGAUAAACACAUGAUAAGAGCAGUGUCUACCUAUAUUUACAUUCCAAGGAUAUUAUAAAGAUUAAUCAAACAUUUCCUAAGACAUCAUUUGUUUCAUAAAUGUCAAGGCUUCCCAAAGCCUAGCUUCAGGAGAACAACGCGCUUUGACAAAAUGUCCUUCGAUGUUAAAAGCAGAAGUGGUCGUUUUUGUAAAAAUUACGUUUUC